RNAcentral lists this ribosomal RNA (554 nucleotides) under uncultured bacterium. RNAcentral describes it as "bacterial SSU rRNA". It matches the Rfam family "Bacterial small subunit ribosomal RNA", at positions 315 to 908 of the family's 1533-position model. The record is from RNAcentral.
GGAACUGAGACACGGUCCAAACUCCUACGGGAGGCAGUAGUGAGGAAUAUUGGUCAAUGGACGAGAGUCUGAACCAGCCAAGUAGCGUGCAGGAUGACGGCCUAUGGGUUGUAAACUGCUUUUAUAAGGGAAUAUGUACCUUAUGAAUAAGGACCGGCUAAUUCCGUGCCAGCAGCCGCGGUAAUACGGAAGGUCCGGGCGUUAUCCGGAUUUAUUGGGUUUAAAGGGAGCGUAGGCCGGAGAUUAAGCGUGUUGUGAAAUGUAGACGCUCAACGUCUGCACUGCAGCGCGAACUGGUUUCCUUGAGUACGCACAAAGUGGGCGGAAUUCGUGGUGUAGCGGUGAAAUGCUUAGAUAUCACGAAGAACUCCGAUUGCGAAGGCAGCUCACUGGAGCGCAACUGACGCUGAAGCUCGAAAGUGCGGGUAUCGAACAGGAUUAGAUACCCUGGUAGUCCGCACGGUAAACGAUGGAUGCCCGCUUUGGUAGCGGCCAAGCGAAAGCAUUAAGCAUCCCACCUGGGGAGUACGCCGGCAACGGUGAAACUCAAAGGA